Molecule: small nucleolar RNA, 107 nt
Organism: Lathyrus oleraceus (garden pea)
Lineage: Eukaryota; Viridiplantae; Streptophyta; Magnoliopsida; Fabales; Fabaceae
Source: RefSeq, a predicted model, not a curated record
AUGUUAUGAUUUGGGCAUAUGUGCAACAAAAGUUUAAAUGUCUCCCAAGCAUCAUAAAGUGACUCAAUUUCCUGUUGCUCAAAAUUAACAAUUUCUGCUCUGGGCUU